GCCUUGCACGGUCACUAUAAUUGGCAGUACCAGGCACUGAUCUAAUAGUAGAUCAGUGGUACCAGGAUGCUCCAAUCUCGUUCCCCGAGCCUGCGAUCCUCGGGAAGGAACGCGAAGCUCUGGGAUAAUCCGUUUCAGGGAGGAAUCUGAUUGGCCGUUGAAAUGGAAUGCGUAGUUCAAUCUUAGCCAGGAUUCAUGGCUUCCGGCAACGGAUUAUCCCAGAGCCUCGCGUUCCUUUCCGAGGAUCGCAGGCUCGGGGAACGAGAUUGCAGGAUGCUCGCGCUAUGACAGAAGAUGAACGGAGAUCACGUAGUGUCACAAAUUGAUUCCCAGGAGGGGCCGCGGAACUGGGGGCAGGUCCUCUCCCACUUUUUCGACAUGGAAAAUGCCUUUUCCAACGAUAUGCAAAUAUGGCUUCAGUUGGGUGAAAAUUGCCGAAGAAUGCAGGAAUGGAAAUCUAAAUUUUUC
This is a non-coding RNA of Paramuricea clavata, 468 nucleotides long. The record is from the annotation of a GenBank genome assembly. NCBI's taxonomy places the organism in Eukaryota, Metazoa, Cnidaria, Anthozoa, Malacalcyonacea, Plexauridae.